This 808-nucleotide ribosomal RNA is filed under the name uncultured Planctomycetota bacterium. RNAcentral's name for it is "bacterial SSU rRNA". It matches the Rfam family "Bacterial small subunit ribosomal RNA", at positions 46 to 832 of the family's 1533-position model. Lineage: Bacteria; Pseudomonadati; Planctomycetota. The record is from RNAcentral.
GGAUUAGGCAUGCAAGUCGCACGAGAAAGGUUUCUUCGGAAGCCGAGUACAGUGGCGAACGGGUGAGUAAUGCAUAGACAACUCGCCCUUGAGAUGGGGACAACGCCUCGAAAGGGGUGCUAAUACCCAAUGCCGCCUUGGGCCCGCGGGUCCAGGGUGAAAGGAGGCCUCUGAUUCAAGCUUCCGCUCAAGGAGAGGUUUAUGUCCUAUUAGCUAGUUGGCGGGGUAACGGCCCACCAAGGCUGCGAUGGGUAGCCGACCUGAGAGGGUGACCGGCCACAUUGGGACUGAGACACUGCCCAGACUCCUACGGGAGGCUGCAGUCGAGAAUCUUCCGCAAUGCGCGCAAGCGUGACGGAGCGACGCCGCGUGGGUGAUGAAGGCCUUCGGGUUGUAAAGCCCUGUCAGCUACUACGAAACACGGGCGAUGAACAAUCGUCCCGUCUGACUUAAGUAGCAGAGGAAGCACCGGCUAACUACGUGCCAGCAGCCGCGGUAAUACGUAGGGUGCAAACGUUGUUCGGAAUCACUGGGCAUAAAGGGCGCGUAGGCGGUCUGAUAAGUCAGGUGUGAAAUCCCUCGGCCUAACCGAGGAACUGCAUUUGAUACUGUCGGGCUAGAGUACAGGAGGGGAGAGUGGAAUUCCUGGUGGAGCGGUGAAAUGCGUAGAUAUCAGGAGGAACGCCGGCGGCGAAAGCGACUCUCUGGCCUGUUACUGACGCUGAGGCGCGAAAGCUAGGGGAGCAAACGGGAUUAGAUACCCCGGUAGUCCUGGCCCUAAACGAUGGGCACUAAGUAGAGGGGUUUU